Molecule: ribosomal RNA, 253 nt
Filed under: uncultured bacterium
Lineage: Bacteria
Description: partial 16S ribosomal RNA
Rfam family: Bacterial small subunit ribosomal RNA
Source: RNAcentral
UACAGAGGGGGCAAGCGUUGUUCGGAAUUACUGGGCGUAAAGGGCGCGUAGGCGGCCUGCUAAGUCGAACGUGAAAUCCCCGGGCUCAACCCGGGCACUGCGUCCGAGACUGGCGGGCUCGAAUUCGGGAGAGGGAUGUGGAAUUCCAGGUGUAGCGGUGAAAUGCGUAGAUAUCUGGAGGAACACCGGUGGCGAAGGCGGCAUCCUGGACCGAGAUUGACGCUGAUGCGCGAAAGCCAGGGGAGCAAACGGG